CAGCAGCCACGGUAAAACAGAGGGUGCGAGCGUUAAUCGGAUUUACUGGGCGUAAAGCGUGCGUAGGCGGCUUUUUAAGUCGGAUGUGAAAUCCCUGAGCUUAACUUAGGAAUUGCAUUCGAUACUGGGAAGCUAGAGUAUGGGAGAGGAUGGUAGAAUUCCAGGUGUAGCGGUGAAAUGCGUAGAGAUCUGGAGGAAUACCGAUGGCGAAGGCAGCCAUCUGGCCUAAUACUGACGCUGAGGUACGAAAGCAUGGGGAGCAAACAGGAUUAGAUACCCGCGUAGUCCCUGUCUCUUAUAC
Molecule: ribosomal RNA, 301 nt
Filed under: uncultured bacterium
Lineage: Bacteria
Description: partial 16S ribosomal RNA
Rfam family: Bacterial small subunit ribosomal RNA
Source: RNAcentral